GGUGGCUCAGAGGUAGAGCACUUGCCUUGCAUGCAUGAGGCCCUAGGUUCGAUUUCUUAGCACCA
This 65-nucleotide transfer RNA is filed under the name Dipodomys ordii (Ord's kangaroo rat). It matches the Rfam family "tRNA". Rfam says of the family: Transfer RNA (tRNA) molecules are approximately 80 nucleotides in length. Their secondary structure includes four short double-helical elements and three loops (D, anti-codon, and T loops). Lineage: Eukaryota; Metazoa; Chordata; Mammalia; Rodentia; Heteromyidae. The record is from Rfam by way of RNAcentral.